UGAGGAAUAUUGGGCAAUGCCCGCAAGGGUGACCCAGCAACGCCGCGUGGAGGAUGAAUGUCGUAAGAUUGUAAACUCCUGUUAGAGGGGAAGAAUAGUACCGGUUGGACCGGUAUAUGACUGUACCCUCAGAGGAAGCCCCGGCUAACUACGUGCCAGCAGCCGCGGUAAUACGUAGGGGGCAAGCGUUGUCCGGAUUUACUGGGUGUAAAGGGCGCGCAGGCGGGAUAAAAAGUCAGUGGUGAAAUCCUACAGCUUAACUGUAGAACUGCCUUUGAUACUUUUAUUCUUGAGUUCGGGAGAGAGAGACGGAAUUCCAGGUGUAGUGGUGAAAUACGUAGAUAUCUGGAAGAACACCAGUUGCGAAGGCGGUCUCUUGGUCCGACACUGACGCUGAGGCGCGAAAGCGUGGGGAGCAAAC
RNAcentral lists this ribosomal RNA (421 nucleotides) under uncultured bacterium. Its description in RNAcentral is "bacterial SSU rRNA". It matches the Rfam family "Bacterial small subunit ribosomal RNA", at positions 355 to 773 of the family's 1533-position model. The record is from RNAcentral.